This 485-nucleotide ribosomal RNA is filed under the name uncultured Rhodocyclaceae bacterium. RNAcentral's name for it is "bacterial SSU rRNA". It matches the Rfam family "Bacterial small subunit ribosomal RNA", at positions 897 to 1382 of the family's 1533-position model. The record is from RNAcentral. Lineage: Bacteria; Pseudomonadati; Pseudomonadota; Betaproteobacteria; Rhodocyclales; Rhodocyclaceae.
AAACUUAAAGGAAUUGACGGGGCCCGCACAAGCGGUGGAGCAUGUGGUUUAAUUCGAUGCAACGCGAAGAACCUUACCUGGGCUUGACAUCCCGGGAAUCCCCUGGAAACAGGGGAGUGCCCUUCGGGGAACCCGGUGACAGGUGCUGCAUGGCUGUCGUCAGCUCGUGUCGUGAGAUGUUGGGUUAAGUCCCGCAACGAGCGCAACCCUUGUCUUUAAUUGCCAGCAUUUAGUUGGGCACUCUAGUGAGACUGCCGGUGACAAACCGGAGGAAGGUGGGGAUGACGUCAAGUCCUCAUGGCCCUUAUGGGUAGGGCUUCACACGUCAUACAAUGGUCGGUACAGAGGGUUGCCAAACCGCGAGGUGGAGCCAAUCCCUAAAAGCCGAUCGUAGUCCGGAUCGUAGUCUGCAACUCGACUACGUGAAGUCGGAAUCGCUAGUAAUCGCGGAUCAGCAUGUCGCGGUGAAUACGUUCCCGGGUCUU